CCAAACAAACCCACAAGCUUAAGAGUUAUUCAAAUUAGGUACAGCUUAUUUGAAACAGGACACAACCUCCCCCCAUUGGGUAAAGAAGGGCAAUAAAAAUAAAGUGGGCCCAAAAGCAGCCACCUUUAAAAUAGCGUCAAAGCUUAACUAUUACAGCCCGUAAUUACUUAAACACCCCCAACCCCCUAAUCCCUAUUGAACCAUUUUAUAUUUUUAUAAAAAUGAUUAUGCUAGAACUAGUAACAAGAACUUGCCCUUCUCCUCAUGUAAGCAUAAACCAAAACGGACACUCCGUUGGUAAUUAACGUAAAUGCCAAACUAUAAUAACAAACACCAGAAAACCUUAUAGCCCACCAACGUUACCCUAACACCAGAACAUCUCAGGAAAGAUUAAAAGAGGGAGAAGGAACUCGGCAAAUUUUAGCCCCGCCUGUUUACCAAAAACAUCGCCUCCUGACUAAACAUAGGAGGUCCAGCCUGCCCAGUGAUAACAUUCAACGGCCGCGGUAUACUAACCGUGCGAAGGUAGCAUAAUCACUUGUUCUUUAAAUAAGGACUUGUAUCAACGGCACCACGAGGGCUAUACUGUCUCCCCCCUCCAAUCAGUGAAACUGAUCUCCCCGUGAAGAAGCGGGGAUUAAUAUAUAAGACGAGAAGACCCCAUGGAGCUUUAAACCCAAUAUACACCCCUUCGCUCAAGCACCAAUUUAACCUCAAGGAUCUGUAUAUCGGUUUUAGGCUGGGGGGGCCACGGAGUAAAAUUAAACCUCCACAACAAAUGGGCUAAUUACCCUUAUCUACGAUUUACGAAUCUAAGAAUCAUCAAAAUGAUGUUUAAUGACCCGAUAAUUCGAUCAUUGAACCAAGUUACCCUGGGGAUAACAGCGCAAUCCACUUCAAGAGCCCAUAUCGACAAGUGGGUUUACGACCUCGAUGUUGGAUCAGGG
RNAcentral lists this ribosomal RNA (947 nucleotides) under Odorrana exiliversabilis. RNAcentral's name for it is "partial large subunit ribosomal RNA". It matches the Rfam family "Bacterial large subunit ribosomal RNA", at positions 959 to 2542 of the family's 2925-position model. Lineage: Eukaryota; Metazoa; Chordata; Amphibia; Anura; Ranidae. The record is from RNAcentral.